GUUUACACCUUUAAACAAUGACAUGAAUAUUUAAAAACAACAGUUAACCCUUUCCUUCUCGGCCACGUUUUAAUUUUUUCAAACGAGGGCGCCAAGCUGGCCGCAGAGCCGAGGGAGCACGGGGACACGGGUUUGAGCCCUGAUCCGGGAAGAUCCCACAUGCCACGGAGCAACUAAGCCCAUGUGCCACAACUACUGAACCUGCGUGCUGCAACUACUGAAGCCCACGCGCCUAGAGCCUGUGCUCUGCAACAAGAGAAGCCACCGCAAUGAGAAGCCCAUGCACCACAACGAAGAGUAGCCCCCGCUCACCGCAACUAGAGAAAGCCCGCGCGCAGCAAUGAAGACCCAACGCAGCCAAAAAAAAAAAAAAAAGAUCAAUAUCAGCAGCCCAAACAGACUAAGACAGACUCAUACAGAUGGAAGACGAUGUGAGGACACAGAGAGAAGGCAGCUGUCUACAAGCCAAGGAGAGAAGCCUCCACAGUAACUGACCCUGCCCACACCUUGAACUUGGACUUCCAGCCUCCAGAACUCCGGGUCCUCGAGAUGCUCCAGCCCCGCCUGUUUAUCUUGUGAGCUGCCGAAGGCCCACGCUCCCCCUGCCGCAGCUCCGUCCCCGUGUGAUUACAUCUUUCCUCGCAGCCUGAAAGCAGCCCGUGGGCCCCAGAAGCGCUGGGCGGUGUCCUCUGGGCCAACGUCAAGACAGCAGUGAGGGGUCAGAUGCAAAAGGAGAAGCCGGCUGAAGGGGCUCGUGAUUCUUCAGGGGGCCCUACUGGCAUUUGGGGCAGGACGGACCUGUCAGUGUCUUCAACCCCAUCAAGUAUCCGGUAUCCCUAGUCACUGGGCUGUCCCAACCCAACCCAACCCAAUCCCCACCCCCGCUUCCUGGUGGGACCACCCUGGGCUCCCGGCAGCUGCCUCUGCUCUGCCGUGUAGGUGAAGGGCAAGCCUUCUGCAGCUUCCGGGCGGAGAGCUGGUUCUCCUCGUCUGGACCCUCCUUCUCCACUGGGCAUCCCGGAGGCUCUGUGUCUGCUACGUUUCCGAGCUGCUCGGGCAUCCUAGGGGCCACACCCCCGAGGGUGGACACCCCGGGGCAUCCAGUCUGUGCCCAAGCAUCCAAGUGAGCCUCACUUUCUGUGUUUAUAAAAGGGAGCUCUCCACCCCGGUCUCACAGGAAGAACGGGCCCCAGUGGAGAAGCAGGACUCUGCCCCAGGGGAGAGAGGCGUGCGCUUGACAAGAGCAAAGGGGCCUCUUUCACAAAAUCACAGGAUGUCGGAAAAGAGGUUCUGAGUCAGCACAACUUCUGGGAAUCCAGACAGGGGUGAAGAAUUCCCUGGAGAAACUUUCCCCAGCAAGAGCACUGGAGCAAGAAAGGUAGGAUGUCAGCUCAACCUCAGACCGGUUGACCAGAUGGCUCAAAUUUCAAAUCCUGCAUUCCAAUUUUCCGGGGGAUGCUGCUCUGACCAGAGAGGAGACUGGCCUGCAUGGGAUCUAAGAUAAAUACGAUGCAUGUGAGCACCAAACAGCUGGUAUGUCUGUGGUUUCUGGGUUUCGCUCAGUAAGCCUCAAAAGCAUGAUCUUGGGGCAUUGAGAUGAAUGUCAGGAGACCUGGGGCCUGACACUCGUCAUCAGCAAAGUGGCAGCAGAGGGCCCUGUAUUCGUUUCCUCAGGCUGCUAUAACAAAGUCCUGCGGACUACGCCGCUUAAACAACAGAAAUUUCUUGUGUCACGUUCUGGUGGCUAGAAAUCUGAGAUCAAGGUGUGGGCAGAGUUGGUUCCUUCUGAGGGCUGUGACAGAAGAGUCUGUUCCAGGCUUCUCCCCUUGGCCUGUGGUUGGCUGUCCUCCCCCUGUGUCUUCACGUUGUCAUCCCGCUGUACGUGUCUUGUAUCCCAAUUUCCCCUUCUUAUAAGGACACCAGUCAUAUUGGAUUAGGGCCCACCCUAAUCAUGUCACUUUAAAUUAAUUACCUCUUUAAAGGCCCUAUCUCCAAAUACAGUCACAUUCUGAGGUCCUGGGGGUGUAGGGAUUCAACAUAUGAAUUCUGGGGCCAAUUCAGCCCAUUAGAACCCUUUAACCAACUGGUCUCAAUUUCACCAGCAGAGAAAUAAUGGGUGAGCCUGUGGUUUUCCAGAUUUCUCCUGAUUUUAAGCAGAUUAAGGUUCAGCCUAGAAUUGUGCAUCAACCUACCAAAUGCAGCUGAACGUGUGACUUAGGCCAUGUCAUCUUUCCAGGUUAAAAUUUAUUUAUAAAGCACAGAUAAUAAAAAUAACAUCUAUUUACCUCCCUAGGUGUUCUGAGCCUUAAGUUACAGAUGCAGGGAUGAUGCGUUACAAAACCAAACAAAUCAGUCCUUAGGACAGGCGACUCAGGCAAAUCAACCAUCACCACCACAACAAAACAAGCUUUCAAACCCACAAGAGAAGACAAGAUUGUAAUGCCUUCCUAACAACAUUGCUUUAUUGACGCAAGGCAAGGAAAACUACAUUAAAUUCUAUUGAUUCUCUUUGAGAUCUAAUAAUAUGCUUUAUUCAGAUCUUAUUCACAUCCCUCUUCUUCCACGGGUCUAUCUCAGGAGCUGAAAUUGGCCAGUUACAAAACAGAAUUGGUUCUGCUGUCAUUGGAAGUCACAGAGGCAAACGUGUUUUCGAACACAAAAUCUACCAUGCUUUCUUUGGGAAACAAGGCACAGUUGGGGAAAAAAAAAAAAUCUCACUUCUAAACAAAAUUGAAAGCAUGGCUAACUUGAGAUUUAUUUGAUUACAGUCUUUCUCCGGGCUAAUCCGUUUUAGAACCCAUUCCUACUGGCACCAAUGAGCCAAUAAAAGAUCCAGCAGGAGAGAAGAAGUAUCACAUCAACUCAGAGAAACAAGGUUGUUCAUUUUUUUAAAAAGCAUUGAAUUAAUGUUUACACUGCUGAGUCAAGUUAUUUCUACAUAUGCUAUAGGCUUUGCAUCUCCAGAAUAUGUUAGCAUUAAGAGUAUGAUAAAUUGUACCUGACUUACUUGUGAAAAAUCAUCUUGAGAAAGGUUUUUUUCCCCUGGGAAAAUAUGGAAAUGACACAUGGUGUGUACAGCCAGAAACAGCAGAAGGAGAGGCAGGUUUUUAGCUGUCACAGUGGAUGGUUAAGAAUUUCGGAUUUGGGUCAGUGUCAUUAUGCUCAAGUCACUUCACCUCGAAACCUCAUUCUUCAUCUCUAGAAUAGGUUCCAAACUCAGUGUUUUCUGUAAAUAUUCAAUAGUCUAAUACAUCACAGAGUUCGACAUUAACCCUCCCAGAGGCCAAUAAGAAUCCAAUAAAUGCCAGCUUCUCUAUCAUAUUAUUACAGAAGAAUGCUUGCAUGCUUUACCUUUCGUCUGUGGAAAAAUCACGAGAAGGAUUAAGUUUGUUGAAAAGAAAGGUGGGUCUUGGGCCCCCUUAGCACAUGUUUUCUCCAUCCUUUCUAAAAAGUGAUGUUAACAAGUUAACAGGUGUUAGGGAGAAGGUGGAGUAACCAGAACCCUCCUACGUUGCUGGUGGGAAUGUAAAAGAAUGUAGACCUUUUGGAAAACUCUUUGGUGGCGCCUCAAAAGCUAAACAGAUAUGGCCCAGCAGUUCCACUCCUAGGUGUAUACUCAGGAGAAUUGAAAACAUGCAUUCAUACAAAAACUGGUUCAUAAAUGUUCACCGCAGGAUUAUUUGCUGUAGUGGAAAGGUGGAAAGACACAGCUCGAGUGUCUAGCAACUAAUGAAUGGAUAAACAUAUGGAACAGCUAUGCCAGGAAAUUUUAUUUGGCAACAACGGACAGUGAGGUACGGACACAAGCUACAACAUGGAUAAACCCUGAAAACAUGAUGCUAAUGGAAAGAAACCCGUCACAAAAGGCUACAUACAGCAUGAUUUCAUUCAUAAGAAACAUCCAGAAUAAACAGCUCUAUAGAGACAGGAAGUAAUUAGUGGUUGCCUAGGGCUGGGAGGGAGGGCAGGAAUGGGGAGUGACCACUAAUGGACACAGGGUUUCUUUUUGGAAGGAUGAAAAAUUUCUGGAAUUAGAGAGUGAUGAUGGUUGUACAACUUUGUGAAUAUUCUCAGAACACUGCACUGUACCUUCUAAAAUGGUGAAUUUUAUGCUUUAUGAAUUGUAUCUGGAAAAAAAAUCAAUGAAUGCUUAAUGUGGAAAAUAAGAAAACAAGGAAACAAAAAUUGUCAUUGUAGCAUCCAGAGAUAAUCACUGCAAAUGCUUUGAUGUAGAUCCUUCCAGACUGAUGCA
Balaenoptera ricei (Rice's whale) is the source of this 4252-nucleotide long non-coding RNA. RefSeq lists it as uncharacterized. The transcript is spliced from 7 exons. Lineage: Eukaryota; Metazoa; Chordata; Mammalia; Artiodactyla; Balaenopteridae. The record is from RefSeq and is a predicted model, not a curated record.